CACCUAGCAGUAUGUAGUGGCCACCCAGCAGAAUAGAAUGAUGAACCUCUAGGUGCAGUUAUCGUAUGAUACAGUCCUUCUAUCGUGGAUCCCUACAGACCGGAGGUCAUGGAUAACUCGUCAAACUCCGUCGUCUGUCAUAUGUCUAGAUUUAUUCGACUUGAGUUCGAGAGUAGAAAACUCUUUUCCACUAUAUAUUCUGCUCUGGCCAAG
This 213-nucleotide long non-coding RNA is filed under the name Phoenix dactylifera (date palm). RNAcentral describes it as "long non-coding RNA (PDAC_LNC008598)". Lineage: Eukaryota; Viridiplantae; Streptophyta; Magnoliopsida; Arecales; Arecaceae. The record is from RNAcentral.